Molecule: unclassified non-coding RNA, 936 nt
Filed under: Hevea brasiliensis (rubber tree)
Lineage: Eukaryota; Viridiplantae; Streptophyta; Magnoliopsida; Malpighiales; Euphorbiaceae
Source: RNAcentral
UACGAGGCACCAAUAUUAGAGAAUGUAAAGUAUCUCUGUCCAUAGAAUAUCUUAUAACUUGUAUAGAUGGAGUGCUUCUCAAGAUUUCUUUCACAUCUUCCAUUUUUAUGGGAAAAUGGAUUGAAGCUUGUGCUUACCAGUCCAUUCUACAACCUUGUGCAAUUUUUUUCUUUUUCUCUCUAUGCAUCUAUUUACUCUCUUUAAAAAUGACCAGGAACCAUAAGUUAGUAGAUGGUCAUAUUAUUAAGUCAGCUAGUUUGUUCUAUAAACUUCUGUUUAGAUUUCGAGCACAAUCCUUGAGCUUACUCUGUUCUAACGGACAUCAUUUUCGUUGGCAGAAAGCAAUUAUUUUAGCUGGUUGUAUUAAUUUGCUUGUUUGCUGUUUUUUCUGUAUUGGUGAAGAGCGGUGCUAUGUUUUUUUAAGGACUGAUACCUGCAUCUGCAGUUUGUUAAGGGAUUAACAUCUGCUUGGCUUCUCUAUGGUGUUCUACUUUCUGGGAAUCUUUAUUGGAUAUCUUAGUGGAUAUUAAUUUGACUUCACCUUUUGUUUUUUUGCUAUUUAAAGUAUACUGGCUUUAUUUGUCUUUCUCAUAGUAUUUUUCUCAUCUUUUCUUUAAUAAAUUCUUUGUUUAUCAGAAAAGAAUUAAUUAAGAAUUUUAUUGUAUGCUAACAUGAAGCGAAGCAUGUAAUCAUGCAUUACCUUGAACCUGUUCUUAGAUCUUCUAUGUGCUUAAAGGGAGUAACUUCUCCCAUUAUAACAAAGAAGCUUGAGAAUUGCAUCCCUUGAGAAAAGCAUGAGAUUGGAGGCAAGAAAAAAUAUUCACCUUUGUAAAUUUUCUUGGUCUUAAAAGGAAAACAUAAAUGAUUAUCAAUUCAUAUUAUAAUUAGGCCCUAGAAAUUCUUUUCAAUACCUGCAAGGCUGCGUUAAAAGCAUCU